CAGCCUGGUAGCGCAUCUGGUUUGGGACCAGAGGGUCGUAGGUUCGAAUCCUAUCACU
Molecule: transfer RNA, 58 nt
Filed under: uncultured Chaetoceros
Lineage: Eukaryota; Bacillariophyta; Thalassiosirophyceae; Chaetocerotales; Chaetocerotaceae
Description: partial tRNA
Rfam family: tRNA
About the family: Transfer RNA (tRNA) molecules are approximately 80 nucleotides in length. Their secondary structure includes four short double-helical elements and three loops (D, anti-codon, and T loops).
Source: RNAcentral